GGUAAAGCUUAGCGGUAGAGUGUGUGCUUAGCACGAACAAGGCCCAGGGUUCAAUCCCCAGCACCA
RNAcentral lists this transfer RNA (66 nucleotides) under Marmota monax (woodchuck). RNAcentral's name for it is "tRNA.Ala". The record is from RNAcentral. Lineage: Eukaryota; Metazoa; Chordata; Mammalia; Rodentia; Sciuridae.